Molecule: transfer RNA, 76 nt
Filed under: Phage sp. ctL4h4
Description: tRNA-Thr
Rfam family: tRNA
About the family: Transfer RNA (tRNA) molecules are approximately 80 nucleotides in length. Their secondary structure includes four short double-helical elements and three loops (D, anti-codon, and T loops). Further hydrogen bonds mediate the characteristic L-shaped molecular structure. tRNAs have two regions of fundamental functional importance: the anti-codon, which is responsible for specific mRNA codon recognition, and the 3' end, to which the tRNAs corresponding amino acid is attached (by aminoacyl-tRNA synthetases). tRNAs cope with the degeneracy of the genetic code in two manners: having more than one tRNA (with a specific anti-codon) for a particular amino acid; and 'wobble' base-pairing, i.e. permitting non-standard base-pairing at the 3rd anti-codon position.
Source: RNAcentral
GCCUCUUUAGCUCAGUUGGCCAGAGCACGUGAUUUGUAACCACGGGGUCGUUAGUUCGAAUCUAACAAGAGGCUCA